UACAGAGGGUGCAAGCGUUGUUCGGAAUUAUUGGGCGUAAAGCGCGUGUAGGCGGCUCGGUAAGUCUGCUGUGAAAGUCCAGGGCUCAACCCUGGAACGCCGGUGGAUACUGUCGAGCUCGAGUCCGGAAGAGGCGAGUGGAAUUCCUGGUGUAGCGGUGAAAUGCGCAGAUAUCAGGAGGAACACCAAUGGCGAAGGCAGCUCGCUGGGACGGUACUGACGCUGAGACGCGAAAGCGUGGGGAGCAAACAGG
RNAcentral lists this ribosomal RNA (253 nucleotides) under uncultured bacterium. Its description in RNAcentral is "partial 16S ribosomal RNA". It matches the Rfam family "Bacterial small subunit ribosomal RNA", at positions 524 to 776 of the family's 1533-position model. The record is from RNAcentral.